CGUUCAAGUACUGAGAAUUAUGUAAUUUGAAAAUUUGAAUCUUUGAAAUUUUUAUUUAUAUGAUUAUUAAGUAAAUCAUUAAAUAUGACCAAUAAAGGAUACUUUUUACAUGAAGGGCCAGCUUAUUCAUUAGCGUUGAAUAAAGAAAAUACACAUGUUGUUGUUGCGGGUAGAAAUGUAUUCAAGGUAUUCCUCAUUGAACAAGGUACCUUUAAAGAAUCUGUUAAUUUGCGUUGUGGAAAAACAUCUAGUGUACAAAGUUCAUCAAGUAUGGAUGUUGCCUGGAACCCAGUUGAUGAUAACAUUUUAGCUACAGCUACCACGGGUGGUGCUGUUGUAACUUGGAACUUAAAUCGUUCAUCUAGAAAUAAACAAGAGCAUGUAUUCUAUGACCACAGAAGAACUGUAAAUAAAGUGACUUUUCAUUGUGUUGAACCAAAUUUACUAAUGUCUGGUUCUCAAGAUGGUACUAUGAAAUGUUUUGAUUUAAGAUUAAAAGAGCCCCCUAAAACAUAUUCAAGUGAUUCUGAAAGCAUAAGAGAUGUACAAUUUAGUCCUCAUAACUGUAACACAUUUGCUGCAGCUUCUGAAAAUGGUACCAUUCAAAUAUGGGAUCUAAGAAAAUCUGACAAGUGUUUAAACAAAUUUUCUGCCCACAAUGGCCCUGUGUUUUCUUGUGAUUGGCAUUCAGAACUUCCAUUUUUAGCAACUGCGAGUCGAGAUAAGAGUAUAAAAGUUUGGAAUGUUACAAACAAACCAAUAGCAGAGUAUACUAUUAGUACAAUAGCACCAGUUGGUAAAAUAAAAUGGCGACCAUAUCGUAAAUAUCAUUUAGCUUCUAGUGCUCUAGUUUUAGAUUCUGCUAUAAAUGUUUGGGAUGUGCGUCGACCAUAUAUUCCAUAUGCUUCAUUUACUAAACACACUGAUGUAGCAACAUGUAUAGCUUGGAAAGGAGACCCCUAUGUACUUUUAUCUACAAAUAGGGAUAGUACAUUACAUCAAAACUUUAUAAGUGAUGCAGACUUACCUUUAGAAAAUUCAAAUCCUCAAGGAAUGGCCAUAAAUAAUAGUGGUGAUCUUGCAUACUGUUGCCCAACAGUGUUAAACAAAUCUGAAAUUCAUAAGGCUGAUAAAAAUAAAGAAACAUCCAGAAAAACUUCUACCACUACUAGCGGUGAAGAAGAAUUGAAUACUUCAAGCCAGAUGAAUGUUUUUCGUGAUCCUAAAGUUUCUAUGUGUUUAUCCGAUGAAACUGAUUGUUUUCGAACAUGUGCUACUCAGUAUAAACUGAAUGGAAAACCAUUGGGAGAACUUUGUGAAUACAAUGCCAAUAUUGCAGCGAGUGUUGGAAGACCUACUAUUCAUUUAAUGUGGAAUAUACUAAGAAUACUAUAUGAUUAUGUUUCAAACAAUUCACCAAAAGAUGACACUCAAAGUAAUUCUAACAUUGAAAGUAGCUAUGAAGAAGAUGAAGAAGAUAUACCUCCUUCUACUAGUGAAGACGAGUGUCAAAAACCUGAAAAAAGAAAACCAUUGGGGGAUUUUUUUUUUGGUGACAUGGAAAUGGAUCCUUUAGGAGCAGAACUAGAUCAGUUUGAGACUAUUGGCUUGAGAAUGGAUAGUAAAAUUUUAGAUGAAGAUAGCAAUUGGAUAGUACCAACUGAAUCUAUAACUCUUAGGCCAGAAAUUUCAUAUCAACCAAUAGUUGAUCAUAAUUACAUAUCAGAACUUUCUCCAGUUAUUAAUACAUCAGCAACCAGUCGUAAGAUCACAGUACCAGAGUUACGAAUAACAUCUCCUGUAAAGUUUGAUUCAUGGGAUCCAACUGAGACAGUUGCAAAGGCUCUACGAUUUCAUGUUGAUCAGGGUGAUAUACAAACAGCUGUUUGUGCUUUAAUUGUUUUAAAUGAUGAUGUCAGAAGUGAAUUAACAAACCCUAAGAUUCCAAAUCAUCUUCAACAAACAGAAAUGGAACAAUGGAUGUUAGCCUAUAUUGAUCUUUUAAGUAGAUUCAAACUUUGGUCUAAUGCUACUACAAUCAUUCAGUUGUCGCGAAUCAAUAGUAUUCUUCAAUUAAAUCGUAUUUCUACAUCUGUAUAUUUAAGUUGUGGAUGGUGUUAUAAAGGAUUAACUCGGAGUAGUCGCCAUUGUUACAACUGUCGUCACUCUGAGUGUGCAAGGUGUGCCUUAUGUCAAAGGGUUGUUCGUGGAAUGUAUGCUUGGUGUCAAGGAUGUGCUCAUGGUGGUCACAUUAGUCACAUGAAACAGUGGUUUUUGGAAAAUAAAUAUUGCCCAACUGGAUGUGGUCAUAUGUGUGAAUAUUAAAACUUAAUGUAUGACUAUCAUUCACUAUACUUAACUAUUUUAGUGAUAUUUAGAAAAAAUAAAAAUACAAUAAAAAGUCUGGAGAAUCAAAUUUUACAUGAUUAAAAAAAUAAGAAGUAAAGACAUCAUAUUU
This is an RNA transcript of Daktulosphaira vitifoliae (grape phylloxera), 2458 nucleotides long. It is a transcript of the gene named GATOR complex protein WDR24, with no coding region annotated. NCBI's taxonomy places the organism in Eukaryota, Metazoa, Arthropoda, Insecta, Hemiptera, Phylloxeridae. The transcript has 11 exons. The record is from RefSeq and is a predicted model, not a curated record.